This 1278-nucleotide long non-coding RNA is filed under the name Canis lupus dingo (dingo). RNAcentral describes it as "lncRNA (ENSCAFG00020019933.1)". The record is from RNAcentral. Lineage: Eukaryota; Metazoa; Chordata; Mammalia; Carnivora; Canidae.
AUGAAGGCGCAGAGGUGCCCGGAUUACGGGCCACCACAUGGGUCCUGGGGCCACUUCGAUGCCUGUUUCCAGUGUCCGUGGGCCCGUUUCUUGCCUUCUGGGUACCACUUCCUCCUCCGUCCCACGGGGCCGCGUGCUGGGCCAUCCAGCCCCCCGCCCGCCCACCCCCUGGGGCAGCCGGGCUCUAUGCUCCUCCGUCCCUUUGGAGCCUCUGGCUUCAAAUGUCCAGGGCAGAAGAAUAGCCUUUGGUCACUGAUUUUUAAUUUUUAUUAUUCUGGGGACACAGGGACCAAUUCUUGUUCCUUUUCUGCUCUUCGUGCCUCCCUCCCUCACCGGCCCGACUGCAGAGCCCCAGAGGAGGAGGGACACACCCAGGCGGAUGGACGCUGGGCUCACUUCUGCCCCUGGCAGCCCCAACUGCCCCCCAGGACUCUGCUCCUUCCGGAAGCUCUCUGUGACUCCCCUGCAUCCGGCAGGGUGGACGCCUGUGUCCCCUGCGAUCCGGUGGCUGCAAGACUUCUCUGGGCCCAGGGCAGUGACAACACCCAGGGCUGCUAUGUGACUGGUCCCCGCUCAGCGCCCCUGGCACAAGCCCAGGGUCAGGUGCAGGGGAAGCCUCCGCGUGCACCUGCUGAGUGCACACGUCAUGAACGACGUCUUGAAACAGAGGCCUUGCCCGGGGCCAGGGUCGGGACCUCUGACCUGCCUUGGGGACACUGGCCAGGAUGGUCGCAGGGAGCUGGUCACAUCAGGAACCCCGCCAUGAGGCUCGGGGGCGUCAGGGCCUCUCCGCGGGCUCUCUGCUCCCUUCCACCCCUCGCCCUGGCCCCGCUCCUGCUCCCUGCUCACCCUGUUUCUUCUUUUCUAAAGGACACUUGGCCCGGGCACCACAAGGGCAGGGCUGUGCGGCCAGGCUGUGGCCGGUGCAGGCAGCGCGGAGGGGCAGCCUCCUGCAGCUGUGCUGGAGAGGACGGGUGGCUCCUGGACCGGGCGGCAUGGCCAGGGGACUCCACCUUGCCUGGCCAUCGGUUCUCCGCAGAUGCUUCUGCAAACCCCUCUCGUACAUGGAGGGAAGCAAAGAUGAUCUUUAUUCCUGCUCUUCCAGGGGGCGGUCGGGGUGAAGCACCUCGUUGCUCCCUAACCCCUUGGGCAACCCUCUGGUGGGUGGUCCCCAGGGCCCCCCACGGGCCUGACGCCCCCGGGCUGGACGCGUGUCCGUGGGCCAGGGAGGGAAAGACAGAGCUGGGCCCGCUUUGGAGUUUCACAUUCCUGUGUUGA